Molecule: long non-coding RNA, 364 nt
Filed under: Homo sapiens (human)
Lineage: Eukaryota; Metazoa; Chordata; Mammalia; Primates; Hominidae
Description: HSALNT0359889
Source: RNAcentral
ACAAUGUGUGCUUUGGGUGGAGAUGAGUCUACCUCCAGCUCCAAAGGAGGCAUCUGAUUUAGCCCUGAACCUCUUUUUUGACCACAAAGUUGGAUGCAUAGGUAGAUAGAGGAAUAAAUUGGAGCCAAUAAAACUAAUCUUAGGAUAUGGUUGAAACGACCAAAAAAAGGAGGUCUUUUUUUCUUUGCCUUCUAUAAUUUCCACAGCCAUCUUUUCAUCACAAUGGGACAGCCUGUCUGAGAAUGAGGCCAAUGCAAAGAAGAAAGUGGAGCCCACGUACAGAGAGAUGAUACAUUGAUGAUAUCAUGUGUCCUAGAUUCAUGCUUCAUAUGAAGGUAAAUUUUACCUUUGAUGUUUUGUGUGU